This 1588-nucleotide ribosomal RNA is filed under the name Ptychogena lactea. RNAcentral describes it as "partial 16S ribosomal RNA". The stretch from base 222 to 1588 matches the Rfam family "Bacterial large subunit ribosomal RNA", at positions 1 to 2603 of the family's 2925-position model. Lineage: Eukaryota; Metazoa; Cnidaria; Hydrozoa; Leptothecata; Laodiceidae. The record is from RNAcentral.
AAGUUAUAUUAAAAAAAUUAAUUAAAACCAUAGGAGAAUAGUUUAUUGAAAGAGAAUAAAAAAUAAAUCUUUUUAAAUCGAAAACGAUUAUUAUAAAAGAACUGAAACAUCUUAGUAUAAUAUAAAGAAUCGAAUGAAAGUAGUGGCGAACGAAAUCAUUCUUAUAAUUAAUAUCAUUGAUUAAACAAAAUUUAAAAAUAUUCUACCUAUAGAAAAAGUACUGUGAAGGAAAUAAAAAAAUAAUUAAUUUAAAUAAGUGUAUGACACUUACCUUUUGUAUAAUGGGUUUACAAGAAAAAUAAUUAGCAAGCUAAAAGGCAAAAAGAAAUUAAAAAAGUUAAUUUUACCCGAAACCAAACGAUCUAAUUGUGAACAACUUUAUGAGUGAACUAGUAAAUGUUGAAAAAUUUUAGAUGAUUUGCAAUUAGCAGCGAAAAACUAAACGAGUUUGGAUAUAGCUGGUUCUCUAUGAAAAUUAUAUAAGUAAGACAUUAAUAUUUUAAUAGUCAGACAUUUAGUGAAAACAUUAUCUGUCAAAAGGAAAACAAUCCUCAUCAGAAAUUAAUAUUCUAAAUAUAAAAAUAUGAAAACAGUUAAUCAUUUACACAAUAAAAAAUAGGCCUAGAAACCGUCAAAUUUUAUAGAGUACGUAAUAGUUUAUUUAAUAAAAGAUUUAACUAUAAAAUAAAGUAUUUUUGUAAUAAAAAUUCUGAAUUUAAAAAGUAAUAGAGUAUUCUACAAAAAACAAAGAAAUUUGUAGAAAAAAUAAUGUAAACAUGAUUAUUAUAAAAUUUAUUCCUAAAUUUUCUUAUUUUACAAAAUGAAUAAGGUAAUACAGAACCUCAGUAUAAAAGGGUAACAAUUAAUUUUAUCGAGAAAAUCUAAUAAAAUAAUCUGUAAAAUCUCAAUCAAGAAGGAAUAUAAAAAGUAUACAUUCUUUUUAAGGAACUCGGCAAAAUGAAUAUCGACUGUUUACCAAAAACAUAGCCCUAGAUAAUAUCUAAGGUGUAACCUGCCCAAUGAUCUUAAAAUUAAAAUUCAUAAAAGUUAUUUAAUAAGAUUUAAAGGACGCAGUAACCUUGACUGUGAUAAUGUAGCAUAAUCAUUCGCCAUUUAAUUGAUGGAUAGUAUGAAUGGUUGAACGAAUAUUCCACUGUCUUAAAAAGAAAUACCAAAAAAUUGAAAUAAUAGUUAAGAUGCUAUUUAAAAUUGUAAGACGAAAAGACCCUAUAGAGCUUAACUAUAACCUCUUUUUAAAAAUAGAAAAUAAUUUCAAAUAUAGAGAGGUUGGUAGUUUAGUUGGGGCGACUAUCUUCUAAAUUUAACGAAGAGAAGCAAAGUUAAUAAAAAAAACUUAUUGUAUAAUAAAUUAAUUUAACAAUUACAAAAGUAGGCUAUAAUGACCCGUUAUAAAUAUAUAAAAAUUAUAACGAUCAAUAAAUAAAAGCUACCUUAGGGAUAACAGGAUAAUUUUAUUCUAGAGAUCAUAUCGAAAAUGAAGUUUGUCACCUCUAUGUUGAAUUAAGAUAUCCUGACAAUGCAGAAGUUGUCAAAGGUAGGUCUGUUCGACCUUUAAAAUCUUACAUGA